UAUGCAACUGUUGUUCUCGGGGUUGUGAUGGGAGUGACCUGCGCCUUCUCCUUGAAAGGGAAGCCUUGGUCUGUGGCUCAAGCUGGUAUCGAGGAAGAGAAAUGGAGAUGGAGUGAUGAAGAUGACAGCGGAGAAAUCAGUGAGGAAUCCCAUGAACAUGACAGCGAGGAGACCCAUGAAAACAAGAGUCAUGAAUUCCACGGUCAUGACAACCGGAA
Penaeus vannamei (Pacific white shrimp) is the source of this 218-nucleotide non-coding RNA. The record is from RefSeq and is a predicted model, not a curated record. Lineage: Eukaryota; Metazoa; Arthropoda; Malacostraca; Decapoda; Penaeidae.